AUACCUACGGGACGCAGCAGUGAGGAAUAUUGGUCAAUGGGCGCAAGCCUGAACCAGCCAAGUCGCGUGAGGGAUGACGGUCCUAUGGAUUGUAAACCUCUUGUCGGGGAGCAAGGCCCGCCACGUGUGGCGGGAAGGAGAGUACCCGAAGAAAAAGCAUCGGCUAACUACGUGCCAGCAGCCGCGGUAAUACGUAGGUGGCGAGCGUUAUCCGGAAUGAUUGGGCGUAAAGGGUGCGUAGGCGGCCUGCCAAGUCUGGAGUGAAAGGUACCGGCUCAACCGGUACAGGCUCUGGAAACUGGCGG
RNAcentral lists this ribosomal RNA (305 nucleotides) under uncultured bacterium. RNAcentral's name for it is "bacterial SSU rRNA". It matches the Rfam family "Bacterial small subunit ribosomal RNA", at positions 335 to 639 of the family's 1533-position model. The record is from RNAcentral.